AUUGAACGCUGGCGGCAUGCCUUACACAUGCAAGUCGAACGGCAGCACGGGUGCUUGCACCUGGUGGCGAGUGGCGAACGGGUGAGUAAUACAUCGGCACAUGUCCUGUAGUGGGGGAUAGCCCGGCGAAAGCCGGAUUAAUACCGCAUACGAUCUACGGAUGAAAGCGGGGGACCUUCGGGCUUCGCGCUAUCGGGUUGGCCGAUGGCUGAUUAGCUAGUUGGUGGGGUAAAGGCCUACCAAGGCGACGAUCAGCAGCUGGUCUGAGAGGACGACCAGCCACACUGGGACUGAGACACGGCCCAGACUCCUACGGGAGGCAGCAGUGGGGAAUAUUGGACAAUGGGCGAAAGCCUGAUCCAGCAAUGCCGCGUGUGUGAAGAAGGCCUUCGGGUUGUAAAGCACUUUUGUCCGGAAAGAAAUCCUUGGCCCUAAUACGGUCGGGGGAUGACGGUACCGGAAGAAUAAGCACCGGCUAACUACGUG
RNAcentral lists this ribosomal RNA (486 nucleotides) under uncultured bacterium. RNAcentral's name for it is "partial 16S ribosomal RNA". It matches the Rfam family "Bacterial small subunit ribosomal RNA", at positions 30 to 507 of the family's 1533-position model. The record is from RNAcentral.